Paramuricea clavata is the source of this 83-nucleotide non-coding RNA. The record is from the annotation of a GenBank genome assembly. Lineage: Eukaryota; Metazoa; Cnidaria; Anthozoa; Malacalcyonacea; Plexauridae.
UUAGCAAUCUCGAACCCUGAGCCUGCAAUCCUCUGUGGAGGCUUGCUCAGAGGAUUGCAGGCUCGGGGUUUGAGAUUGAAGUU